GACGAACGCUGGCGGCGUGCUUAACACAUGCAAGUCGAACGGAAAGGCCCUGCUUUUGUGGGGUGCUCGAGUGGCGAACGGGUGAGUAACACGUGAGUAACCUGCCCUUGACUUUGGGAUAACUUCAGGAAACUGGGGCUAAUACCGGAUAGGAGCUCCUGCUGCAUGGUGGGGGUUGGAAAGUUUCGGCGGUUGGGGAUGGACUCGCGGCUUAUCAGCUUGUUGGUGGGGUAGUGGCUUACCAAGGCUUUGACGGGUAGCCGGCCUGAGAGGGUGACCGGCCUCAUUGGGACUGAGAUACGGCCCAGACUCCUACGGGAGGCAGCAGUGGGGAAUAUUGCACAAUGGGCGGAAGCCUGAUGCAGCAACGCCGCGUGCGGGAUGACGGCUUUCGGGUUGUAAACCGCUUUCGCAUGUGACGAAGCGUGAGUGACGGUAAUGGGUAAAGAAGCACCGGCUAACUACGUG
RNAcentral lists this ribosomal RNA (468 nucleotides) under uncultured bacterium. RNAcentral's name for it is "partial 16S ribosomal RNA". It matches the Rfam family "Bacterial small subunit ribosomal RNA", at positions 28 to 507 of the family's 1533-position model. The record is from RNAcentral.